UUUCCGCUCAGUGGAAAACUCAGACAUUUUAUUCUUUACCAGACUUCUUCUGGAGAAGAGGAAGCUUGAAGGAAACCUUGUUGCUCUCUACAACUCCCUGAAAAUUGUUCUGGCAAGGUGGUGAUCAGCCUCUUCUCUCAGGUUCUCUCUGAAGAAACAGUCCUUUUUGCAACACUUUCUUGAUGACUUUGUCAGCAGUGUUCCAGCUGCUUUCACUUUGCAUCAGCAACAGCAUGGACAGAUCAACAAGUGCUGUGGGAAAUGGAUGCAGCUUGCAGCCAGGGAAGGAGCCAUAUUGAGCUCUGGUUACGUCUGGAAAACUUCCAACAAAAGUGCUGAGUAUGCAGAAAAGAGAAUGUGUUCUUCUAAGGAUCCUGGAAAGCGUUUAAGCGUCUUUCUAACAUACCUGGAGAAGCCUGAAAACGUUUUAUUUACCAAGGACUAAGACUGGAGCUCAGCAUAUGGAAGCAGCUGUCACAGGAGAUGACUCUGGAGAAACUCUAUCCAAACAAGAGAAGCAGCAAGGAGGUGACAUUUUGAAGAUAAAUAAGUAAUUAUUUGUGUUGGUUUUGAUGAUGAUGCUUCUUUUGGGGUGUUUGUUUGUUUUUGUUAUUGUAUUGAUGGACAUAUGGUGCAAUUUGUGGACGUUAUCUUCUGCCAAUAGACUUGCACACUGAUGCUAAGAAUAGAUCAGAAUUUCUCCCAGUUCCUGAUUCAAAAAGAAGCGUUACUGUCUAUAACUCAU
Molecule: long non-coding RNA, 745 nt
Organism: Coturnix japonica (Japanese quail)
Lineage: Eukaryota; Metazoa; Chordata; Aves; Galliformes; Phasianidae
Source: RefSeq, a predicted model, not a curated record